Molecule: transfer RNA, 140 nt
Filed under: Deltaproteobacteria bacterium
Lineage: Bacteria; Pseudomonadati; Myxococcota; Myxococcia
Description: tRNA-Ser
Source: RNAcentral
GGAGAGAUGCCCGAGAGGCCGAAGGGGCACGACUGGAAAUCGUGUGUUCCGACAAAAUCGGGACCGAGGGUUCGGCGACCCCCGCUUGGGCGGGGGGAGGCGGAGCGAACGUAGUGAGCGAGCACAUCCCUCUCUCUCGG